AAAGACCGAAAACCAGACAGACAUGGCAUCCCUAAACGCGAAACCCGCAACACUCUCUCUCUCUCUCCACCACCCAUGGAGGAGACCGCCAUCAUUUCAAAACUUGAAGCUUCCAGCUCCACAAGCCUUCAUCCCCUCGUCGCCGCCUACCUUCAGUCGUUCACCCAACUCCAGAACCCCCAAAAACCAAAAAAUCAAUCGAAUCCCAAGCCCACCAAACCCUCCGCUCCCUAGCCAAGAAAUUCCUCCCCUUCCUCAACCGCGAGCUAUCCGUUCUCCCCAAACGCCUCGCCGACCCCUCAAAGUUAGAUGACGAAUUUGCCCUCGAACUCUUCGAUAUUUACUGGCUUUGCCUCGACCGCCUGGCCGCCGUGUCCCCUGUGUUGUCCGCUUCUCCGUGAUCGUUUCACUCCCAGAGGGUGAGGAUGGUGAGUUGCCUGGUGGCAUGUGGGCGGUACGAGGAUGCGGAGAGUGAGGGGUAUAGGAUUUUGGAGAGCCUUAAGGCGAUUGAAUUUGAAUCGAAGAAAUUGGUGAAAUCGGACAGGAGAUUUGUGCCAGAUGUGAAGAAGGGGGGAGGAGAUGAAGAGUCUGGGUCUUUGUUGGGAGAAAUUGUGGUGGCGCUUGUGAAAUGUGCGGCCAUGAGUCAGAGUAAGGAUAGUGAGGUGUACGGGCGGGUGCUUUGUUUGGUUGAGGAGGUUGUGCCGUGGUCCUGAUGCAAGCACAUGUGAGAAGUUGCACAGGAAUCUCGUUGUCUACCUGAGUAUGUGUACUCGAUUUUAAGUUGGGGAGCUAUCAUCGUUCAACGGGGAUCUUGUGCAAAAGUUCUGCCUUGUAACCAUGGCUGAGUAUGUCAAGUCGUCAAUGAAAGAUACAAUGUUCAAGAGUGAGAUGUAUGAUGGUAUCCAUGAAAUUUCUCCUUGCCAUCAAUUAGCUGUGGCAUAUUGCUUACGUGCACUUUCUACCCAGGAAGCUGAACCCAACUCAAGGGUGCUAAUUCAUGAAGG
Molecule: long non-coding RNA, 1004 nt
Organism: Pyrus x bretschneideri (Chinese white pear)
Lineage: Eukaryota; Viridiplantae; Streptophyta; Magnoliopsida; Rosales; Rosaceae
Exons: 3
Source: RefSeq, a predicted model, not a curated record